GCCCGUGUGAUGGAACUGGCAGACGUGAUAGACUCAAAAUCUAUUGUCCGCAAGGACGUGGCGGUUCGAAUCCGCCCACGGGCACCA
This 87-nucleotide transfer RNA is filed under the name Bacillota bacterium. Its description in RNAcentral is "Firmicutes bacterium (anaerobic digester metagenome) tRNA-Leu". It matches the Rfam family "tRNA". Rfam says of the family: Transfer RNA (tRNA) molecules are approximately 80 nucleotides in length. The record is from RNAcentral. Lineage: Bacteria; Bacillati; Bacillota.